Molecule: long non-coding RNA, 3460 nt
Organism: Triticum dicoccoides
Lineage: Eukaryota; Viridiplantae; Streptophyta; Magnoliopsida; Poales; Poaceae
Exons: 4
Source: RefSeq, a predicted model, not a curated record
ACACGGCUAAAAAAAACCUGCCAAAACUAAAACAUGACUCGCUCAUAAAAAACAAAAACAUGCCUGGCUCAGACCCUCCUCAUCCUGUGUGGCUCCCUCGAUUGAUCCCAAAUCCCCAAUUAAUCCCACCGCCGCCUAGAGCACAAGAGCGGGCAGCGGCAGCCUGCGAACGCCAAGUACGGCGUGACCAGCCAGGUGGGCCGGUAGAGGAGUGCCGAGAUUGUUAUCCAGGACGAUUGGACGAAGAGGGAGCAAAUCUAUGAGUGAAAGGGAUAAGGGAAGGGAAGGAAUGCAAAAUGAAAGACUUGCAGUAGCUUCCCAGGCACCAAACUAAACCCAUCUCAUCCAUGGGGUUUCUUGCAAGAGUUUAGGACAUGGUUGGAGGAACCAGAAGCUUGUGCAUUUCUGACACAGAAGGCAUUAACUACUCAUCUACAUCGAUAUAGACAGGGUGAUCUCGGCGAAUGAUGUGGACGUUCAUGAGCUUGGCUUCCCAAGUGUGGUUCUUCCCAGGCACUUGAAGCCUCAUCCACUGCUCCUCGCGUGGAAGAUGAUCAUCAGCGUAUCCCUGUUCGAUGUACUGAGUUGCACAUUCACAAGGUAGGAUGUUAAGUUGUCAACAGAUCAAAUAAGCAAACACAUGCGUCCUUACCAAGAAAGAGGAAACUGCAUGGAUCGAGCACAACUUACCAGCUUGGCACGGCAGCUAGGCAUGAUGGACACGAAUAUUUUGGUUUCUGGCUGAAUAACAAGGAGCCUCUCUUUGAUUUUUCUCUUCUGCUGCCAAGUCAGUUCGGUGCAUCUGGUAACCACAUACCCCGUGUCAGUGCGAGUCACUUUCAUCUUCUUCCGGCUAGCUGGUUUAAGAUGAUAGACUAUUAUUGCCACUCCACCAUCGCUCUUUGACAUUUCAAAUGCACAGAUAUCGCCUUCCUGCAAUUUGUUGUCGCGAACAAAGCAGGGCCAACCAGAAAAAAUGAUACAAGAAAGGAUGCAUGCUCCAUCAGUGAUAACCUUCAAAUUGGCAUCCCAUGUUUUGCUGUUCUGAGGAUGACAAAGUUUGAUAAUCUGGUCUUGAUGAGGAAGGUGAUUGGCAGCAUACUCCUUACGGAUGACCUAUUACAAAUGAAUGAUCUGGCUGAUGAAUUAUCUCAAACCAUAAUUUGCAGAGAGCUAGUGUUUCAACGAUUCGAACAAAGUUCUAGCAAGAUAUUCUGAAUUCUGUUUUCUGAACAUGGUGUUCAUUCAAAUAAAUAAAUAAUCAAAGCAUUGUACAGUAAUCAAAACAUACUGUAAACCUACCAGAAAUCCAUCAGAUAGAUUUUUCUCGUUCAUGGCUGUGACAUAAAAUUGAAUUCCAUUCCGAUUUUCGUUCAAAAAUGCAUCAACUCUUGCCUUCUGGGCACUAGUCAGUUUACAACCCAUUUCUAAAAUGUAAUGUGAUUCGGUAGACCCCCGAAGGCCACCUGAACUGCUGGGUUCCUGAAUAUCUUUUGGAAAUGUUACAUCUUCAGCUGUGCAACAUCAAUCAUGAAGGCAGAAAUCAGAAUAAAAAGUAAAUUAAGAAAAUCUAAAACAAAACAUCAAUAGAAAUUCAUACUCAACUGUUCAAUACUGAACUUGAUUUCUGUGAACUUGAGUAUGCUUGAUUUAUCUUUGAAGUUCUGCAACUGUCACUUGUACCGUCGUUCCGGCUUUCUUUUUUGGUGGGUAGUGAUUGAUCAUGAAAAAUGUCCCUCUCUUGGAGAUUAGGACCACAGCUCAUGAUAACACAUGAAAGCUCGUUCUCGCAGCCACUUGGUUUAAAGAUUUUUACUUUGAAGUGGGAGUCCCCACUGUAUGUAAAGACUAGGAAGUCAUUUUGUUUAAGUUCAUACGCACUGGCAAAGUUUGCCCACCCUGAUCCAAAAACUAACUUAUGCUGUUCCCUGGCAACCUGAACAAUAUAAAUUUUACCAUCUGGGACUUCUAGUUUGAGUUCAUCAGAUGUGUGACCUCUGAAAUUAGUUGCGAACUUUGGUGGUAUGGCCUGCAUGAAGAAAUAAAUCACAAAGGAUCUUUGACCAGAAAAUGACCACAUACGAGGCUAAGUGAUUGCUAGUCCAUCUUCAUGCCUAUAUAAUUCACUGCAAAGAAAACUAAGAGCACACAUGCUUCUGUAAUAUAAAAAAGGGCAGCCCGGUGCAUGUAGCUCCCGCUUGCACACAUGCUUCUGUAAUAUCUAUUAUCAAAUUUUGGUUAUCUAGGUAAGUAUACUUUGUGGCUUCGUGCAAUUAAUUCUCAAAAGAAGUAUAUUUAAUGUAACCCAAAUGGUGCUCAAACUCCUAAAUUCGUCAUCAAGAUUAUCAAAUUACUAGCAGUGUUACUCAGUUUUUUGCAAAACUAUAGUUGUGAAAACUGCAGGAGGUAUAUUUGGUGCACAAGAAACACUGUAAUUGGCAAGGUCUUACCAUUUCAUCUUGAAAUUACCCAGAGUCAUAAUUUUGAAGAAAGACCAGUCAUGAUCUUUCAUGUGCCAAUAAUGGUGACCAACACAUUCUGUGCAUACUACACACGGUUUCUUCAUCCUGUCAUCAUCUUGUCCAGGCCUGCCAUAUCAGUUGAGAUGAAAUUGUUAGAAUAUUGAAAUCAAAAUCCACACACACGGACAACCAUUUUGAGACAAACUUUGACCGUCGAUUGGACCUACAUCAUAUGAGUUAUAUGCCCACCAAAAAUAUUCCACUCCUUGCAAACAAGUUUCCAGUGGUAUAAUUUUUAUGGUAUACUCAUACAUUAUUCGUUUAACUGAUGGUCAAAGCAAAUAACAAAAUAUGCGCAGACCUUGCAAACCUGAACAUAGGGAGAUGGCAUGACGAGUGAACAAAGUUAUACUUAUUGGUCCUAGGAACACAAAAUGCAACUAAAGUUAGUACGGACCUUUCUCUAUGUGAUUGCAAAGGACUAUCAUGACAAAUGUCCCUUUCCUCGGCAUUAGGACCACAGCUCGUCAUAACACAUGCCAACUCUUUCUCGCAACCAUUUGGUUUAAAGAUUUGAACUUUGAAAUGGGAGUCUCCACUGUAUAUAAAGACUAGGAAGUAACCCUGUUCAAGUUCGAAAGCACAAGCAAACUUCGUCCACCCUGACUGAAGAACUAACUUCUCCUGUUCCCUGGCAACCUGAACAUUAUAAAUUUUACCAUUUGGGACUUCUAGAUUGACUUCAUCAGAUAUGUCACCCUAUGUUUUUAAGGCGGUAAAGCGUCAUAAGGCGGAGGAGGGCCGCUCUGACGCCUAAGCGCCAAGGCGAGGCGGUAAGGCGAGGCAAGGCGACGCCUUAAACAUUGCAGGAAAAGAGUCAUCAAUAGGUCUGCACAUAUUAAUACUAGAAAAAGAGCAAUGGCUGAGAGAUGGGCCACUACUUAUGCACCUCCCAGUGGCCCAAAAGCCCAUCUAGUGGCCAUAUACACCCCCGUGAC